UGCACGAAAUAGUUCACUUUUCAAUGCGGGAACACAUCACGUAUGACUUGGGACUUUUGGAGACUAUUCGGGACAAAUCUUAGUUUCUCCGGACGUCAGAAGUCAUUAUGUACUCGAUGGUGAAAUCUACAACAGCACAUCAGGCUGAGUCGGCUUGUCAGCAAUUGUUGAAGCGUGAAAUCCGCUAAUGUUAACUACACAAAGGAAAAACAUGUCUUUGAGGAAUAGAUAAUAGUCGUCACAGCCCUACAUUUUACCGGGAGAAAUAGCCAGAUACAGCGACCUAAGCGGAAGAUUCUGCGUUCGACCACAUCAUCUUUGACGCUGUGAAGACCUGCGUCUGCAGUUCGAGAGCGUGAUGGAAAUAUCACAGGUCAGCAUAGAGUAGGACGAGAAGGGCAAGAGUCCAACACAGUCAGCGUAAUUGGAAUACACGACAUUAUUUAUU
Molecule: long non-coding RNA, 448 nt
Organism: Haliotis rubra (blacklip abalone)
Lineage: Eukaryota; Metazoa; Mollusca; Gastropoda; Lepetellida; Haliotidae
Exons: 2
Source: RefSeq, a predicted model, not a curated record